UGGUGAGGUAAUGGCUCACCAAGGCGACGAUCCGUAACUGGUCUGAGAGGAUGAUCAGUCACACUGGAACUGAGACACGGUCCAGACUCCUACGGGAGGCAGCAGUGGGGAAUAUUGGACAAUGGGCGAAAGCCUGAUCCAGCCAUGCCGCGUGUGUGAAGAAGGUCUUCGGAUUGUAAAGCACUUUAAGUUGGGAGGAAGGGCUGUAGGCUAAUAUCCUGCGGUUUUGACGUUACCAACAGAAUAAGCACCGGCUAACUUCGUGCCAGCAGCCGCGGUAAUACGAAGGGUGCAAGCGUUAAUCGGAAUUACUGGGCGUAAAGCGCGCGUAGGUGGUUCGUUAAGUUGGAUGUGAAAGCCCCGGGAUCAACCUGGGAACUGCAUCCAAAACUGGCGAGCUAGAGUACGGUAGAGGGUAGUGGAAUUUCCUGUGUAGCGGUGAAAUGCGUAGAUAUAGGAAGG
RNAcentral lists this ribosomal RNA (462 nucleotides) under Pseudomonas sp. 06-027345. RNAcentral's name for it is "bacterial SSU rRNA". It matches the Rfam family "Bacterial small subunit ribosomal RNA", at positions 250 to 704 of the family's 1533-position model. Lineage: Bacteria; Pseudomonadati; Pseudomonadota; Gammaproteobacteria; Pseudomonadales; Pseudomonadaceae. The record is from RNAcentral.